Molecule: ribosomal RNA, 639 nt
Filed under: uncultured Alphaproteobacteria bacterium
Lineage: Bacteria; Pseudomonadati; Pseudomonadota; Alphaproteobacteria
Description: bacterial SSU rRNA
Rfam family: Bacterial small subunit ribosomal RNA
Source: RNAcentral
CAUGCAAGUCGAGCGGGCCCUUCGGGGUCAGCGGCGGACGGGUGAGUAACGCGUGGGAACGUGCCUUCUGGUCUGGAAUAACCCUGGGAAACUAGGGCUAAUACCGGAUACGCCCUUUUGGGGAAAGGUUUACUGCCGGAAGAUCGGCCCGCGUCUGAUUAGCUAGUUGGUGGGGUAACGGCCUACCAAGGCGACGAUCAGUAGCUGGUCUGAGAGGAUGAUCAGCCACACUGGGACUGAGACACGGCCCAGACUCCUACGGGAGGCAGCAGUGGGGAAUAUUGGACAAUGGGCGCAAGCCUGAUCCAGCCAUGCCGCGUGAGUGAUGAAGGCCUUAGGGUUGUAAAGCUCUUUUAUCCGGGACGAUAAUGACGGUACCGGAGGAAUAAGCCCCGGCUAACUUCGUGCCAGCAGCCGCGGUAAUACGAAGGGGGCUAGCGUUGCUCGGAAUCACUGGGCGUAAAGGGCGCGUAGGCGGCGUUUUAAGUCGGGGGUGAAAGCCUGUGGCUCAACCACAGAAUGGCCUUCGAUACUGGGACGCUUGAGUAUGGUAGAGGUUGGUGGAACUGCGAGUGUAGAGGUGAAAUUCGUAGAUAUUCGCAAGAACACCGGUGGCGAAGGCGGCCAACUGGACCAUUA